GAUGAACGCUGGCGGCGUGCCUAAUACAUGCAAGUCGAGCGAACAGACGAGGAGCUUGCUCCUCUGACGUUAGCGGCGGACGGGUGAGUAACACGUGGAUAACCUACCUAUAAGACUGGGAUAACUUCGGGAAACCGGAGCUAAUACCGGAUAAUAUAUUGAACCGCAUGGUUCAAUAGUGAAAGACGGUUUUGCUGUCACUUAUAGAUGGAUCCGCGCCGCAUUAGCUAGUUGGUAAGUUAACGGCUUACCAAGGCGACGAUGCGUAGCCGACCUGAGAGGGUGAUCGGCCACACUGGAACUGAGACACGGUCCAGACUCCUACGGGAGGCAGCAGUAGGGAAUCUUCCGCAAUGGGCGAAAGCCUGACGGAGCAACGCCGCGUGAGUGAUGAAGGUCUUCGGAUCGUAAAACUCUGUUAUUAGGGAAGAACAAAUGUGUAAGUAACUAUGCACGUCUUGACGGUACCUAAUCAGAAAGCCACGGCUAACUACGUG
RNAcentral lists this ribosomal RNA (497 nucleotides) under uncultured bacterium. RNAcentral describes it as "partial 16S ribosomal RNA". It matches the Rfam family "Bacterial small subunit ribosomal RNA", at positions 28 to 507 of the family's 1533-position model. The record is from RNAcentral.